Molecule: ribosomal RNA, 859 nt
Filed under: uncultured Corynebacterium sp.
Lineage: Bacteria; Bacillati; Actinomycetota; Actinomycetes; Mycobacteriales; Corynebacteriaceae
Description: bacterial SSU rRNA
Rfam family: Bacterial small subunit ribosomal RNA
Source: RNAcentral
GUGCUUAACACAUGCAAGUCGAACGGAAAGGCCCUGCUUGCAGGGUACUCGAGUGGCGAACGGGUGAGUAACACGUGGGUGAUCUGCCCUGCACUUCGGGAUAAGCCUGGGAAACUGGGUCUAAUACCGGAUAGGACCAUCGUUUAGUGUCGGUGGUGGAAAGUUUUUCGGUGCAGGACGAGCUCGCGGCCUAUCAGCUUGUUGGUGGGGUAAUGGCCUACCAAGGCGUCGACGGGUAGCCGGCCUGAGAGGGUGGACGGCCACAUUGGGACUGAGACACGGCCCAGACUCCUACGGGAGGCAGCAGUGGGGAAUAUUGCACAAUGGGCGCAAGCCUGAUGCAGCGACGCCGCGUGGGGGAUGAAGGCCUUCGGGUUGUAAACUCCUUUCAACCAUGACGAAGCAUUAUGUGACGGUAGUGGUAGAAGAAGCACCGGCUAACUACGUGCCAGCAGCCGCGGUAAUACGUAGGGUGCGAGCGUUGUCCGGAAUUACUGGGCGUAAAGAGCUCGUAGGUGGUUUGUCGCGUCGUCUGUGAAAUUCCGGGGCUUAACUCCGGGCGUGCAGGCGAUACGGGCAUAACUUGAGUGCUGUAGGGGAGACUGGAAUUCCUGGUGUAGCGGUGAAAUGCGCAGAUAUCAGGAGGAACACCGAUGGCGAAGGCAGGUCUCUGGGCAGUAACUGACGCUGAGGAGCGAAAGCAUGGGUAGCGAACAGGAUUAGAUACCCUGGUAGUCCAUGCCGUAAACGGUGGGCGCUAGGUGUGGGGGUCUUCCACGACUUCUGUGCCGUAGCUAACGCAUUAAGCGCCCCGCCUGGGGAGUACGGCCGCAAGGCUAAAACUCAAAGGAAUUGACGG